This 47-nucleotide non-coding RNA is filed under the name Trichobilharzia regenti. Lineage: Eukaryota; Metazoa; Platyhelminthes; Trematoda; Strigeidida; Schistosomatidae. The record is from RNAcentral.
GUACUGAUGAAGAGUUCCCAAAAUAGGACGAAACAGCUGUCCAGUAC